CCCUUAGAUGUUCUGGGCCGCACGCGCGCUACACUGACGAAUGCAACGAGCUUAUAACCUUGUCCGAAAGGUCUGGGUAAUCUCCAAAUUUCGUCGUGAUGGGGAUAGAUUAUUGCAAUUAUUAAUCUUCAACGAGGAAUGCCCAGUAAGCGCAAGUCAUCAGCUUGCGUUGAUUACGUCCCUGCCCUUUGUACACACCGCCCGUCGCUCCUACCGAUUGAAUGGUCCGGUGAAGCGUUCGGACCGUGGCCUUUGGACGGUUCGCCGUCUGUUGGCUGCGGGAAGUUCGUUAAACCUUAUCAUUUAGAGGAAGGAGAAGUCGUAACA
RNAcentral lists this ribosomal RNA (327 nucleotides) under uncultured eukaryote. Its description in RNAcentral is "partial 18S ribosomal RNA". It matches the Rfam family "Eukaryotic small subunit ribosomal RNA", at positions 1470 to 1796 of the family's 1831-position model. The record is from RNAcentral.